UGGCUUUUAGCAGGGAUUACCUUCCCGAAGGGAAACUGCAUCUUUGAUAGAGGGUUUUCUGACUGCAUUGGAUGUCAGAGGGUGUUUACGCAGUGUGGAGCAGCGUGGUGCAGUAAAGAAUCUGCAAGAGCUUCCAUCAUCCAUCGGUAGAAGAAUUAAACCUCACUGGACUCCGGCUAGCUAGCAAAGACUCCAGUACUGGGCAGAUUGCGCUUGCUUUUUUCCCCCCAGAAACUGUCUUACAGACCAAAAUACUGGGCCAAGUGAAGGUGAUGCUACGAAUUUACUGCUGCACAUAUUGUGUAAUAUACACAAACUCUCUCUCUCUCUACGAUUAUAAUCUGUGUUCAUUGCUAGGAGGAUGUUGUUUAGAGGUCUGUCUGAUUGUAUCGGGCACUGUACAAACGUAUAAUUAAUCUCAUUUUAAGAAAUGCUUAGCUCCAAAUUGAGUGUAGGAAUAUAGGGUUAUUAGUUUCUAGAAUGUUUUUAUUAUGCACUUUCUAGUUUGAUUGACAACUAUUACUAUUUUAAGAUGACAGAACUAAAACUUAUGCUGCUUGAUAGCAUCAAAUAUAUUGUAUGCUAAGUAAACAGAAGCAUGUGAGCAGGAUAAUAUUUAUUAUAUGGUUAUAUAGCAGCUCAGUAAGACACUAGAGGGGAAUUAUUCUCCAAGAAGGAUAUUUGAUAUUUUACGCUCUUUAGAAAUACAAAUAUUUUAGAAAUGCAAACAUAGAACUGAACUUUGCACCCUGUUUCUUCAGGGGAAGCCUGCAGGUUGGUUGGCUGUCCUGGCCGGAUUAUUCUGAAGUGCUUCUUUUCAUGUUCUUCCCUUCUUUGAGUAACUGUGAAGGAGAGGAAUAGGAUGAGAUCCCUCCAAUAUGAAUUUUAUAACUCUUCUACUUCCCUGUUAUGUUUGAGAGCAGAGCCUUGCAGCUCCUAUUAAAAUGUGUGGUGAACAGUUCGUAGACACUCCUUGUCCCUGAGAGCCCGGCCAUCCAGGCAGAUGGAGGACAGGAGGGGAGAGAGGCACAGUCAGAAGCGUUGUGGGGUGCAGCAGGAGAAGGAUGGAGCCAUUGCUGCCAAGUCAGGGGGCAGUUUUUCAGUUGGCACACAAAAAAAUCAAUAAUAAUGUUAACUGAGUAAAUAUGAAUUUUGUUUCCAGGACAAAAAGAAUAGUUAGCAUGAAGAAUGUGUAAAUUUCCUGUGUAUUUCUAGUGAAUAUUUAAUAUAAUGCAAUUAGAGGCUGGCUAAGAAUUAUAAGGC
Coturnix japonica (Japanese quail) is the source of this 1263-nucleotide long non-coding RNA. Lineage: Eukaryota; Metazoa; Chordata; Aves; Galliformes; Phasianidae. The record is from Ensembl.